Long non-coding RNA from Equus caballus (horse), 2086 nucleotides. Lineage: Eukaryota; Metazoa; Chordata; Mammalia; Perissodactyla; Equidae. The record is from Ensembl.
GCCAAUCUUCUUUUUCUUUUUUCUGCUUUUUCUCCACAAAUCCCCCCAGUACAUAGUUGUAUAUUUUAGUUGUGAGUCCUUCUAGUUGUGGCAUAUGGGACACUGCCUCAGCAUGGCCUGAUGAGAGGUGCCAUGUCCAUGCCCAGGGUCCAAACUGGCGAAACCCUGGGCAGCCAAAGAGGAGCCUGCGAACUCAACCACUUGGCCACAGAGCCGCCCCUGACUUGUUUAUUUUUUCUUUUGUUUCCCUUGUCUGAGAAGACAUGGUAUUCGAAAAGAUCCUUUUAAGUUUGAUGUCAAAGAGUGUACUACCUAUAUUAUCUUCCAGGAGUUUUAUGUUUUCAGGACUUAUCUUCAAGUCUUUGAUCCAUUUUGAGUUUAUUUUUGCAUAUGGCGUGAGAUCAUGGUCUACUUUCAUUCUUUUGCGUGCGGUUGUCCAGUUUUCCCAACACCAUUUCUUGAAGAGUCUAUCUUUUCUCCAUUGUAUGUUCUUGGCACCUUUGUCAAAGAGUAGCUGUCCAUAGAUGUGUGGUUUUAUUUCUGGGCUUUCAGUUCUAUUCCAUCGAUCUGUGUGCCUGUUUUUGUACCAGUACCAUGCUGUUUUGAUCACUGUGGCUUUGUAGUAUAUUUUGAAGUCAGGGAUUGUGACGCGUCCAGCUUUGUUCUUUUUUCUCAGCAUUGCCUUAGCAAUUCCGGGUCUUUGGUUGCCCCAUAUGAAUUUUAGGAUUCUUUGUUCUAUUUCCAUGAAGAAUAAACCUCAGGUACAUUUUAACACACUGUGAGACUCCUGAGUGCCCAAGGAUGGUGAUGGCCUGUGGAGGGUCUCUGUCUGCUCCAGUUUGUUAAAGUAUUAUGGCUCUGGGCCAUCCAUUAGAAACAGAAAGUGCCCUUGGAAACGCAUCUCCUUGAAGGUAAUUUUUAAACUGGGCUUUUUUCCUGGGAACGUUUACAGCUUGGCAUCCGAAUCCUAGGCUGGAAAUAGCUGGGAAGGAAGCUGGGAUGGCCCAGAGAAGAGGCACUGUGACCAUGUGAGGGACCGUUCAGGCCCCUGGCUCUGAACGGUGUUUGCUCUGUGGGCCGGAGGCUCGGUGAGGAUUGUGGGACUGGGGUGUGGAGGCCCGAACCCUAACCUUCUCUAGGACCCCGGGAGGGGGUCUGGGAGCUGACUCCGCUCACUUCCUUCCUUUGCUUUGCGCCAGAUUUUACUCUGGCUGCGUCCGAACCCCGGGAUUUGAAACCCGGGAUCCGUCCAUCAGUCGGGUCCUCCCCCGCGAAGAGAUCUGCGCGGGCUCUGCCGGCCCGGCCCGCCCCCGGGCUGUCCGUGUGAACGCGGCUCGGCUGCUGCAGAGAAGGACGGAGCCGCCGGGAAGUGGAGGCUCCCGAAGACGCAGGAGCGACCUCCCCGAGGCUGCAGGAGCUGGGCCGCCGAGGGGAGGCUCCUGCCGAGAUCUAAGGAAGGGGGGUGAGCCCGCCCUCUCGGGCAGGGCAGAGCGUGGAGCUGGGGGAACACCCGGAACAGAUGGCCCCGGGUCCGCGUGAAGCUGGGGAGGGGGGGCGCCAGGAGGAGAAGCCUCGGCCUGACCUCGGGGAGCGCCGCCCUCCGCCUAGGGGCCCACCCCAUCGGUCUCGGGAGGUCCUGGGCCGUCCUGCUGCCCCGAAACCCGCGCCGCAGCCAGCGACCCCAGCCCGCGUCCGCGUUUACGACGCUCGCCUGAGCCUCUCUGCUUCUGGGUGGUCCACACCGUCCUCAGCUCUCACCUUCGGCGCCCCGGCCCUGCGGUGGUCGGCCCGGACCGCCCGCUCCUUCCCCUCGGCCCCGCGGCCCGGCGGCUACAGCUGGCCGACUUCCGGACCCCUCGGCGCCGGGCAUUGCCUGGGUCGGGUGCGUUCUGCUGCAGACGUCCGGGCACAGACCCACUGCGGGGACAGCGCCCUUGGACUGGUGACCCGAGGUGCGCUGGGCCCGGCCCGGGCGACCCUCUGCCUUUCGGCCUGCUUCCUCAGAGGUCUGCUCUGCUCACUGACUUGCCGGGCCUUGACCUCCGGGGCCGCCGGACGCCUGAGCACGGUCAACCCGGGACUCUGG